This 253-nucleotide ribosomal RNA is filed under the name uncultured bacterium. RNAcentral's name for it is "partial 16S ribosomal RNA". It matches the Rfam family "Bacterial small subunit ribosomal RNA", at positions 524 to 776 of the family's 1533-position model. The record is from RNAcentral.
UACGUAGGGUGCGAGCGUUGUCCGGAAUUAUUGGGCGUAAAGGGCUCGUAGGCGGUCUGUCGCGUCGGGCGUGAAAACACGGGGCUUAACCCCGUGCCUGCUUCCGAUACGGGCAGACUAGAGGUAUGCAGGGGAGAACGGAAUUCCUGGUGUAGCGGUGAAAUGCGCAGAUAUCAGGAGGAACACCGAUGGCGAAGGCAGGUCUCUGGGCAGUAACUGACGCUGAGGAGCGAAAGCGUGGGGAGCGAACAGG